This 4477-nucleotide long non-coding RNA is filed under the name Sus scrofa (pig). RNAcentral describes it as "lncRNA (ENSSSCG00000059696.1)". The record is from RNAcentral. Lineage: Eukaryota; Metazoa; Chordata; Mammalia; Artiodactyla; Suidae.
UCAGUCAAUUGUUAUUAGUCUAACUGAAAAAUGGAAAGAAAGAAAUGUAGCUGCCACAUAAGGCCAGAUUGUUAAAUAAGAAUCACACAAACUAGAGGUCUUACCGAGUCCCAAGCUUUAUGAAUAACUUGAGGGAGAAAAGCAAUCAUGACACACAGGCAUUGCUGUAGACCUGAAACUAACACAAUACUGUCAAUUGACUAUACUUCAAUUUUUAAAUAGUUUGAAAAAAAAGCACAGGACGAGGUCUCAAACAUUGAGGAGAGAUCCAUGUUCUUUCGUUCUUCAUUAACUGCAGAUAUAGAUAACUGCAGAUAUAUGCCUUCCACAGUGGGAAGCAUUUAGGUUAUUAACCUAAGUUGUAGUUUUAGAGUUUUCAGACCAUUCUCCAUGUAGCCACAACUCAUUGUAUCAUAGCUUCCCGGUUUCUUUACCAUAACUAAUCCUAAAUUAGUGAUACUGCUAAAAUCAUUCUUUAAAGACGUAUUCUCUCUCCAUCAUUUACCAGAAGGUUCAGUGAUCAGAAUGUUCACAAGGAGAUUAGACUAGAUUGUCUACCUUUUUUUUUUUUUUUUUCUCCAGAGGGUUCCUAGUAAGAGGGAGAAAAAUGGGUUGUAGACAGACUGCUUUAACUUCUAUUUCUCAAGUGAAAUAAUGUGGACUUUCAGUUUUUAUCAUGAAAUUAUGAGUACCCUGAUUAGUGUGACCCUGUUUUUAUGAAAAUUUUGCAGAUGCAUUUCAUAUUCAGCUGUGAUUUGGAGGUUAUUUAAAUAAAGCUACAUGCAAGUUCUGAGUCUUUCUAAAAAAGAACUUAUUACCAUAGAAAUGAAUGCCAUAGAGAAAUUCCUGGUUAAUUUGUAUUAAAACAAUACAAUAUUCUGCAUGGAUUAAGGACGUGUUUUUUUUUGUAUAUGUUGAAUAGUCAAAUACUGUGAAAUAUUACCUAAAAUGUUUACAUGUAAUUAGGUAUACUAAGUACAAUUCCAAGGUGCAAGUGUGAAAGAAACUAUUUCUGCAUGUAGAGAGAAAAGAAUAUUUAUAGUGAAAAUAAUUUUAAGUCAUUUUCUAUUUUGUGAUUCUAGUAUACAGUGUAGUGUUAAAGAAAUUUCCAUGAAAUGAAUGAAUGUCAGCAUCAGCUACAUCAUUCACUAUUAAAUAUGUCAUCUGUUGAUUUGGAUAGCAAUUCUAGAUCUGCUAAUUAUUAGCUGUGUGGCUAAAGAAAAAUUAUUUCUUCUCUCUGAAAAGUUGUCUACCAUCUGUAAAAACACACACUUUAUCCCUCACAAAUAUUUAUUAAUUUAUUUAUUUAAUUUGGGCAGCUCCUACAGGACGCAAAAGUUCCUGGGGCAGGGAUUGAAGCUGCACCAUAGCAGUGACAAUGCUGGAUCCUUAACCUGCUGAGCUACCAGGAACUCUGAUUCUUUCUUUUUUUUAUGGAGCAAAUACUUACUGAGCAUCUGUUUUGUACCAGACUUUGUGCUUGGCAAGACAGAGAAGUUUCCCACCUCCGCAGACAUAACAUGUUAAGUCAUUGCAAAGAUUAGGAAAUAUAGUGUAUAUCACUUCAGUAAACAUUAGCUUCAAUUUUUUAUCUUCAGAAACUAUUUUGUCUUCUUCCUUAAGUUGUUAAAUGGAAAUUUGUUACACUGUCAUGCCAGGAACUCCAAAGGGUCUGAGUAUACACUCCACAGAAGGCAACAAGUUAGCCUGUCUUAGGUUCACAGUUACUGUCUAAAGUUCUGAGGCCUCUGGGUCAGAGACAAAGGCAGAUUAUUACUCAUAACAAUAGCCCUAGCUGGAGUAUUAUCUUGGUGCUUGUUCCCACAAGGCAAUGAAAGCAAGAUCUUGCCUGCCCAGACAGUAAAGUUGCAUUACUGAGGGCGGACUCUGAUAUUAGAAAGCCCUGGCCUGAUAUAGGGGCUACUAGCAAAUAUCUGGGAGAGAGAGAUUAUUUUGAUCACCUGGAAUGCAAGCAAAUCUGCUCUGGAGAGGAAAGAAAGAUGUCUUUAUCUUUACAGUGUGCAGUGUCUCUGGGGGGGAGAGAGACAUUUCCCAUCUUUAUCAUCCUAGAAUUUAAGUAGGUCUGUCUCUCCAUUGUGAUUUGGUUAAACAAUCAUUUUUGAAAAGAGAGUCUGAAACAAACUAGCAUUAAUAUCUAUGUAUGUAGAAAGACAAGAAAUUUAUGGAAAACUAUAUUCUAGCACCAAAUGUCCAAACAUUUUCAGUUGACUAUACCUCCUUUAAUUGUUAAACAAACUUUUAAUUUGUCAACUGAUUUUUAAUUGUGUAAGAAGGAACACGUAUUUGUGGUGAUUUAGCUCUUAGAGGAUGAGACUUCCACCUUCUCUUUAUAUGGGGAACGUGUCUGGGAAGGGAGCUGCUGCAUGUUCACUUCACAUCCCUCCUCCUGCAGAGAUAACCAGUCGCAUGGUUUUGAACAUGACAAGGUAGGUUUUGCGUCUCAUUUGACUGGGGUUUAGGUUUAUAGUUCUCUUAGACCAAGGACUCAGAUCCUGUCUCUUUUAUCUGUGCUCUGGUACAGCAGGAGUUCCAUACUCUUCCUUGUGAAUUCCCUAUAGCUUGUGUAUUUGUAUUGAGACCAGACAGGCCUUCCCCACAGAGGGAAACUUGUUAUGCUUUGACUGUCUAUAGGCUCUUCUGCCUAUAAGUGAGUGAGUAAGUUGGGUCAUCCUUGAACUGUAGGUGGUUUUCAAUUUUAGGGUAAGAAAAAUAGAAAUCCUACUUUCACCUGUAACCCCAAACCAUGCUUUGUAAGUACAUUUUUACCAAUACAUGUAUUUUUAACUUAAUAGGCCAUUUCUUUGGUAUUAAUAAAUGUUUUCAGUUUAAGUGCCAUUUUGGGGGUACUGGGUGUUCUAUCCAAAGAAUCCUGAGAAGGAAAAAGGGAGGAAAUAUAAAUCUUAGGUCUGAGAAUGUGUAACCCAUUAAUAAUCUCUGUGAAUUGUUUUGGAUCUACAACAGCAAGGCAUUCCCAGGGGUGAAGCUGGGCUCACCAGGAACAGCAAAGGGUUAUGAUACAAUAAAAAUAAGAGUCUGAGAAAGAAAUCUGAAGAGUUUUGGUCUCGGAUUUGUGGUUUGAGACCAAUAACCCUUGUUUCUUAUUUCAGUCAUGGUAGCAAGUGAUGAUUUUAUAAACUCAGAUACAUGUUAAGAGUAUUUUCCUUCCACACCAAGGUGGGACCAUCAAUCAACGCCGAGAACACUGUCAAGAGAAAAUAAGGAACUACAGUGGUUGUGAUGCUGUUGCUGUCCUAGAUAAUGACCUAAGAUGUAGAACAUAUGUUAUGAUGGCAAAAAAAGGGACAUCACUACAAAGAUGCCCCCCAGUUCCUGUCUCUCAGACACAGAUGCCUUGAGAAAUGGCAGAUAAAUCAUCUUGGAAAAACAUCAGACCACAGGAAAGCUAAAUAACAAUGACCAGAACUUACAAGCCUCUUCUAAAUACAAAAGGUGCAGAAAGUAUCUAGAACACUUACCCAGCAGGGAAAAUUAUAUUUAUGCAAAGCACCUGAAAACUUGUGAUUUGCAUAUCAUUUUUGUCUGACUUAUUAAUCCUAAUGAGUGCUUAUUAAGCACUUAGUGAUGAAAAACAUUAUUUGAAGUAAUAACAGAGUACAAAGUAUUAUUAUGCAAAUGUGUAUGACAAGGGUAUACAGCUGCAGAUUUUAGAUCUUGCUGAUUUUACUUCUGCAAUAUUUUCUUCUUGAAGUUAUCCUCUCCUUCCUGCUUCCAGUACUACAAACCAUUAGUCUUUUGGCCUCUAUAUCAACUUAACUUCCAAAGUGCUCUAAAGUAAAUUUUCUCAAGCUUAGCAUGGUGUUCAAGGCCAUCUAUUUGUUCAUCCCAAUCUGUCUUUUUAGUCUUAUUUUUCAAUACACAUUCCAUCUAUCACACUUCAGUCACAUCAAGGUUGUACCUCUUCUCAUUGCUGUCUGUUGAAAUCUAUUCAUUUUUCAAGACCCAGAAAAUCUGACAGCUUUCCCAUGUAUUUUCUUUAAAUAUUUCUCAAUAUUCAUCUCCUCUUUCUUUAAGGUCCUCAAAACUUUGUUCCUCCUUUUCAGAUAAUAUUUGUAUGAUUAUUACCCGUAUACAGUUAAACUUUUAUUCAAGCUGCUAUAUUAUAAAUCAUGGGAGAUCAGAAAUAUGCCAUAUUUGUAUACCUUUAGAACCGAGGAGAGCAUCCGGCCCAAAAAUGUUUAGGUAAAUUCACUGCAAACAAUUUAAUUAUCUAAAUGCUGAGUAUGUAUUGUUUAAAGUAAAUAAAACAAUGACAUCCCCCAAGCACAUUUCUACCUGCUAAAAGAUGAGUUGGUACCAAAUAGUCAUUUAAGGAAGAUCUGGAGGGAGAGUUAACAGCUUCCAUUUUGAAGGAUGGUGCAUUUAUAGUUUUCUGUUACUCUUGAUUCUUCCCAAUGGCAUAAAUCAGUUAAUCUUGAAUUGCUUGUUGUAAGUAAAU